GUCUCUGUGGUCUAAUGGUUAUGACGCUUGUCUUUGAAAGCGAGAGGUCACAGGUUCGAAUCUCGUCAGAGGCA
This is a non-coding RNA of Anneissia japonica, 74 nucleotides long. The record is from the annotation of a RefSeq genome assembly. NCBI's taxonomy places the organism in Eukaryota, Metazoa, Echinodermata, Crinoidea, Comatulida, Comatulidae.